Long non-coding RNA from Sapajus apella (tufted capuchin), 6237 nucleotides. RefSeq lists it as uncharacterized. Lineage: Eukaryota; Metazoa; Chordata; Mammalia; Primates; Cebidae. The transcript is spliced from 2 exons. The record is from RefSeq and is a predicted model, not a curated record.
UUCAUUUUUAUUCCCCUCUUACAUUCUUCUGAUACUUGCAGUGUUAUUGUAUAGGACACAAUUAUAUGUGAUAUGAUUAUCAGAAUAUGACAACUAGCCCCACAAUCUUAUGUCACAACAUGGGGUCUGUUGGCACAACUUUCUGUAAGUGUAUAUUUGGAACUCAUUUCUAUAUCAAAAUAGCUAGCAAUAGCUUAAUUCUUUAUGGAAGUAACUGAAAACAAUUUAACUUCCUCUUACUAACCAAAACUAAAUGCACCCCUAUUUAACAUUCUGUUACUCAGACACCAGAAAUAUCAUCAGGCACUCUAACGCCGCUUGACACAAGGAGAAGGUCAUAGAGGGAGUUAAGAGCAGAACCAUGCAGCUCUCUGAAUCAGUUGCACUUUUCUAGAAAGUUUGCAAAACUUUUAUGAAAAACAUAUGACCAAAUGAACACCUAGUUUCAUCCCCAGGGCUUUAAAGGUGGUUUUUGCAAGUGGGAAAUUUGAAACUUAAACGUUGUAUAUGUCCAUAUAAAUCUACCUAUAGGCUAGCGUCUAUCUGUGGGUUAGGGAAUUUGGAAAGACUAUCCAAAAAAAGUUAACCAUGUUAUAGAAAAGGUGAAGAUAAAGCAACCAAGGUACAAACACUGGAAAUACAUUAUGAGAUGUAAAAUAACUUUAACAUUAUUCAAUAUGUUCACUCUCAUAUUGCUGAAGGGAGAAAUACGGUCUUAAAGAAAAAGUGAUUGUUCCUGAUAGAACAAUAAUUUAUUGCAAAGUACACAGUCUUACAAACACUACCCUUGCUGGAAUAUGAUUAGAUUUUUGUUCCAUGAUGUUUCAUAUUCUUUCCUACUUCAGAGCCAGUCUUGAAAUAAAAAUAAGAAAAUUACAGGUCACUUUCGGAGUCCUCUCAGUGCAUCUAUGUCAUUUCCCUGUCCCUGACCUCAUCUUAGGAUCCCAUUGCCGUUAUGAAUCCAAGUGGAUGGGAAACCAUCUUCUUGACUUUAUGUUGGCUUUAUGUAAUACUCAGUUUUGUUUGCUCUCUCUCUACUCUGUUUUAACACAAGAUUGCAAGCUGUAUUUCUUAACAAUUAUUUAUUAAUUAUACAUAAAAUACUAGAUGUUAUUAGUAAUCACAUAUGAGUAACAAAUAUUAAAGUUAGAAAUGCAGUUGAAUUAAAAAAAAUAGUUUAUGUAAAAUGCAAUAAAAAAUUGCUGUCUUAUUGGGAAAAUCAGGCCUAAAAUAAAGUUCUACACAUGAUUCCUCUGUCAUUUUAGAUGGUAUAAGUUAAUACAUGAUGGAAGUUUGCAUUUUAUCAGAAGAUGAUCAAAUAAAUGACUUGCUGCAUUUGAAAGCCUGAUACUAAACCAAUCUGCAUAGGAGAAAAAUGGGGGGAAGGAAGACUUCCUAGUGAGAGUAAAGAUAAAGAAUUCAAGCCUAUCAAUAAAGUUGAAGUUGAUUUUUUUUCUGCGGAGAUUUUCUCAUAUUCUGAGACAAUUUUUAAAAUAAUAUUUUUAAAGGAAGUAAAAUAUACAGAGCGCCUAAGAGAGCAACAGAAACCUCCCAGUCUGCUGAGGCUUUAGGAACGCCUGUCAUGAAAGGAGGUCUGGGUGACAUAGAAGUAACAGUGAUACAAUAUGAGUGCCUUUUAUUUUUGACAGUCUCUGCAUUUAUCAAUUGCAAAUGCAGUGUGUAUACAGCCAGCAAUUUGUCAGGGAGUGUUGUAGAAAUAUGUCUGACCCAGAUAAAAAGAUCUAUGUAUAGAAAAGUUUUGUGUAUCUGAGCUGCAUGCUCAGUAAUCAAACAGGGAAACGAGAAUAACAUGUUUCUAAACUCCUGGCCAUUGAGAAAAGGGCACUUCAUAUAUUGUACAAUGCAGAUACAUACUAUCUAAAGUAAUAAUAAAGAUCAGUAAAGACCUGCUCUUACUACAAUUUAGACAUCACCAGUAGAAUUCUCUUCUAAAGUUUCUACGAAGACAACACCUCCUAUCUAUCUACAUUGCAUGAUUUACAGUCAGGACUAGGGUCUAAAUCCAAGCUGAGCAAUUUACUGCCGUUAUGAUUUUAGGUAGUCAGAAUUAAGUUUUUCUUUCUUGGCACAUAAAAAAAAAAUAGUAUCAUUUAAUGAUUAGGCAUAAAAUUGCUGAGUUGUAAUAUAAGAUACAUUUUUUGCAUAAAUUCUAAAAUUCUAUAUAGUUUAUGUACACACACACACACACACACACACAUACACAUUUAUGCAUGUCGUGUCUAUCUUUUCUACUUAUCACUUUUGUAAAAGAUGUAGUUUUAAAAAUGAUACAAUGUUCAUUACCUGAAAGUAUUUCCAUAUAUAUGGUCAUGGUAGGUUUCUCUGACAGGUAUGGCACUCAAAUCUCUUAAAAGAGUGUUUUUACUUUUUUUUUUUUUUAAAGUAAUCAACCAACAUUUAUUUAUUUAUACAAACUUUAAACUUUCUAAUUUUUAUUUUUUUAAUUGUAAUUGACAACAAUUAUAUAAGUUUAUGGGCUGCAAUGUGACUUUUUUCAUUUAUUUUAGAUUCAAGGGCUACAUGUUUACAUUUGUUACAAGGGUAUAUUGUGUGAUGCUGACAUUUGGGGUACAAUUGAGCCUGUUAUCCAGGUAGUGAUUAUUUUACUCUAAAGGCAGUUUUCCAACCCUUUGCCCCUCCUUUGCUGUCCCCACCUUGAAGUCCCCAUUGUCUGUUGUUCCCAUGUUUAUGUCCAAAACGUAUGCUUUUAAAAAACAACCUCCCAUGGACUGUGUUCCCUACUCUAUGAUCAUUCAGUGUAGAUGGAUGGAGUAUCCUUCAUGGUGGUAUUUCAUUAUGCUUACAAAAAAACUAUGUUGAAAAGAUAAAAUAUAUAAAAGGAUUUUUUUUUCAUCAGGAACUUCAGUGAGAUAAGUAUUGUGCUGCAACAGCAUACGAUCAUUCAAUAUCCACAUUUAUUUUCUCCUUUCUCCCUCAUUCUAUAAUAAUGGUUCCUAAUCCAAUUUAAAGUUUGCCACCUGAUGAUAAAUUGUUAUUUCAAACCACAUUUAGCAAAGGACAGCAAAUUGCUCUUAGAAUUAUGUGAUAUUCCCUGGAAUCUGUAUCUUUUAUUCUAAGUCAUUUUCCCUUCUGCAAUUGUUAUUCUUAGAAGCAAUGUCUGCCACUACUUGCAUACAUAGAAGAGAGCAGCUAAGAGUAAACAUUGGUUGCACAUCUUUAAUAUGGGUAUUAAUAGUAAUAAAGGAAAUCCUUUCCAAAUAAAGAUUUAUCUUUGAUAUUUCAGUAGUUUGAUCCAAAGGAAGAAGAAACAGGAAAGUCUUUGAACACACUUUUCUCUACAGUUUUAAUGAUGCAUUGGGAGAGGGCGAGGCAACGAGAGACACAGAGAAGCAGGUGGGAGGGAAGUAAGGAGGGAUGAUGAGAAAAGCAGAGUAUUGAGUGCUCACUGCUGCUACCCCUCUGUCACCCCCCCAACCAUUCUUAAACACUAAUCUUUUGUAGCUUGAUGGAAAAGAAAUGAAUGCAUUUAGAGCAGAAACAAAAAAAAGCACUUGCAUCAGUUGUUCAUUGCUGUGUAAUAAAAUACCCCAAGACAUCUCUAGUCACCUUGAGAAGGGUUGAGGAUACACGGGGUCAUCAUGUUCAUUAGACGCUAUGAUUGUGAAAAUGUACCAUAGAUGAUAUACCUCCCCAAUAUACUAAUAAGUGCAGCAAAAGCAAUCGUUUUAAUUUGAGAAAACUCUUUAUUUGUAAAUAGUUCAAAAGCAUAAUAUUUUAACCAAAUAGCUAUACUAGAACUUAGCCAGUAAAUAAUCUCAAAUAGGAAAUUAGCUGUUUUUCAAUAGUGAAUCCUGUGUAAGGUAGAAAGACAUUUAUAUUGGAAGGGUUGAAAUUAUUGCCCCAAGUCCCCUAGUGUUUAAUAACUUAAGGCAUAUAUUUGGGGGGGGGUAAUUAACAACAUAUAGUGGUAGGUAUGCCUACAGUGAUACAGUAGUAAGUUUUGAUAGGUAAGAAAUUUUGUGGAAUUCUGUACAUGAUAACAUCUAUAUCAACCUUAUGAAUGUGUACUGUUUGGAGGGAUAAAAGGUAUUUAGGAGAUAAACCUGACAUGGAAUUACUGUCUACUAUUAUAAAUGUUAAAUUUUUAAAAAGUUUUCAAAAUAAGAAAGGUAUCUCUGAGAAAAAUGCAAUUAAUUCCUAUUUUAAAAUAUUAAAAUGCCUACAUUUUAAUUUCUUAAACAUAUAAUUUACUCAUUUAUUUGUGCAACACCUUUAUAUACUUGCUAAGUUUGUAUCAAUGUUACAGGCUUCAGUUAAAAAAAUGAAAUUGUAAAAAGACCCUGCCACCAUAAGAGUCAAAAUCUAGUAGAGUCAGGCAAGUAAAUUAGUAAAAUACAUCAUGUCAGAUGGUGAACGCCAAGGAGACAGCACAAGGAAGGGAGGAGGGAAACUCUUCUGGUGGAGAGACCUUGCAGUUUUAAGUUAGGUGGUACAGGAAGAUGUCACUGAGCAGAUGGUAUUUGAAUAAAGAACUAAAAAACUAAGCCUUAAUGUGCCCUGUGACAGUGAGCAUUUCAGGCAGAACCAGAAGAGUAAAUGCAAGUCAGUUACUGAGGUAGGCAUGCAUUGGCCAGGUUUGAGCUACAGCAGAGAGGCCAGUAUGCCUUGGGUUAGUGAAUGUAGGGGACCUUAGUAGCAGAUAACACGGGGAAGAGAUUAGGCAUAGAGGAAGGCAGAUUGAAUGAACGUACAAUGACUAAGCCUUUCCAAGGCUGUUGGCUGUCAUCUGAUUGAUGUGGGAAGGUUUUGAAGGGAUUUCAGCACAGGAAUGACAUAAUCUGAUUUACAAUUUAAAAGGAUUAUUCUAGUACUAUGUUGUAAGUAAAUGGUGAGUCAGAAAAGAAAGGAAGAAACAUCCAGGCCGGUUAGGAGGCUAUUAGAAUAAUCAUUUGAGAGACCAUGGUAGCCUAUGCCACAGUAAUAGCAACAAAGGUGAUGAGAAGUAAUCUGUGUUAAAUAUUUCAAAGGUUUGGAAGGAAGCACUAAUCAGAUUAUCCAAUAUCUUGGAUGUGGGCUAUAUUAGCCAACUUUAAUUUAUGUUGCAUGACAAACAACCUCAAGUCUUCCCCCAAUUGUCAGUAAUGUACAACAAUGAGCAUUGAUUUCUUGCUCCAGUUACAUAAAGCAGCUGUGGGUCUGGGUCUGCUCACCUAAAGGUCAGCCUGGAGCACUUGACUUGUGCUCAUGUUUACUGUGCAUCCUACAAUCCAGGCUGUGGGAGCAGUUUCAAUCACAGAAAUGCUGUAUUCAUUGCACAGGAGCGGUGCCACAGCCACAGUGAGCAAUCUUCUUAAAAGUCUUUUGGGGACAAGUCAUACCUGGUUACAUUCCAUUGCCCCAAGCAAAGUGGACAAGCCCAUGUGACUGGGUGGGAACAAACACUUCUCCUCUGGGAGGUCUCUCGGGUCUCUAUCUGACAGAGGAGGUAGAAAGCAUUUAGCAAGCACAGCACAAUCUUCCACAUUGUAGACAAGAGAAACCAAGGCGUUUCUCCUAACAAACUAGAAAAAUGAUGUCACUGUCCACGGAGAUGGGAAAGAACAGGUAGAAUAAGUUUAAAAGCAGACAAAAAAUUGAUGGUAAUAUGAAACUGUGAUGGGAUAUUGGAAUUAUUUUAAACAUGAUCAUAAAAAUUUAUUAUAGGAGGUAGAAAACAUAAGUUAUCCUAGGUCUGGUCAGUCAUAUAAAUGACAUGAAAUAAGGUACUAGGUCAUUUUCAUUUGAAGUGAAAUAACCACUCAAUCCAGAACAAUUAACAGGGAGUAAUGAAAAUACCUGUAUUCAUACACGUAGCCCAUUUCAAAGUCAUAUAGUUAUUAUUCACAGAUCAUCGGCUACAUUUAAGGGAUGGUGAUAUUCAAGCUGUCUUGUAUUUCACAUCUCUAAGUGUCAUAAAUAUUCCCUUUACUAUAGAAAAAGCAAAGUAAUAUACAAUCUAUACCGAAUAAUUAUCAACAUACAUAUCCCUUGUGUAGACAUAGCAUUCUGUAACCCUUGUGAAAGUCCUGUUUCACAACGAUAUAUCAUGUUUCUCACAUCACUUAAGCUGCUGGUACAUAGGUUUCUAAAGAAUUAGGGAGGGUUAAUCUGCUUUUGGCAGAGAUCAGCAAAAUUUGCAAGCAUUUUGGCCUUUCCAUCAAGACUCGUAAAAUAUUUCAGAAACUACAGGACAAAAAAAAAAAAAACAAACCCAAC